This 253-nucleotide ribosomal RNA is filed under the name uncultured bacterium. RNAcentral's name for it is "partial 16S ribosomal RNA". It matches the Rfam family "Bacterial small subunit ribosomal RNA", at positions 524 to 776 of the family's 1533-position model. The record is from RNAcentral.
UACAGAGGGUGCAAGCGUUGUUCGGAAUUAUUGGGCGUAAAGCGCGUGUAGGCGGCGAGGCAAGUCGGGUGUGAAAUCCCUCAGCUUAACUGAGGAAGUGCGCCCGAAACUGCUUGGCUUGAGUACCGGAGAGGAUGGCGGAAUACCCGAAGUAGAGGUGAAAUUCGUAGAUAUCGGGUGGAACACCGGUGGCGAAGGCGGCCAUCUGGACGGAUACUGACGCUGAGACGCGAAAGCGUGGGUAGCAAACAGG